GGUAAUAGAAAUGAUUUAUAUCGAUGAUUUUAUCUUAUCGUUAGAUAUAGUUUGGUUAAUAUAAUUUCAAUGGAUUAUUCUUGAGGGUUACUCGGUGAAACGAUUAGAACGAGCCGAUAAGAAAUCCGAUUGAGAUAAGACCAAAUAGAAGAAGAAGAGUAAGAAGAAGAAGAAGAAGAAGGUGAGGGUGGAAA
This 194-nucleotide long non-coding RNA is filed under the name Polistes fuscatus (common paper wasp). Its description in RNAcentral is "uncharacterized LOC122521870". The record is from RNAcentral. Lineage: Eukaryota; Metazoa; Arthropoda; Insecta; Hymenoptera; Vespidae.